ACCGCACAAGCGGUGGAUGAUGUGGAUUAAUUCGAUGCAACGCGAAAACCUUACCUACCCUUGACAUGUCCGGAAUCCCGAAGAGAUUUGGGAGUGCUCGCAAGAGAACCGGAACACAGGUGCUGCAUGGCUGUCGUCAGCUCGUGUCGUGAGAUGUUGGGUUAAGUCCCGCAACGAGCGCAACCCUUGUCAUUAGUUGCCAUCAUUUGGUUGGGCACUCUAAUGAGACUGCCGGUGACAAACCGGAGGAAGGUGGGGAUGACGUCAAGUCCUCAUGGCCCUUAUGGGUAGGGCUUCACACGUCAUACAAUGGUCGGUACAGAGGGUUGCCAACCCGCGAGGGGGAGCUAAUCCCACAAAGCCGAUCGUAGUCCGGAUCGCAGUCUGCAACUCGACUGCGUGAAGUCGGAAUCGCUAGUAAUCGCGGAUCAGCAUGUCGCGGUGAAUACGUUCCCGGGUCUU
This 462-nucleotide ribosomal RNA is filed under the name uncultured Rhodocyclaceae bacterium. Its description in RNAcentral is "bacterial SSU rRNA". It matches the Rfam family "Bacterial small subunit ribosomal RNA", at positions 920 to 1382 of the family's 1533-position model. Lineage: Bacteria; Pseudomonadati; Pseudomonadota; Betaproteobacteria; Rhodocyclales; Rhodocyclaceae. The record is from RNAcentral.